Molecule: non-coding RNA, 21 nt
Filed under: Arabidopsis thaliana (thale cress)
Lineage: Eukaryota; Viridiplantae; Streptophyta; Magnoliopsida; Brassicales; Brassicaceae
Source: RNAcentral
AUUAAGUAACGUCCUGUCAAC